RNAcentral lists this transfer RNA (68 nucleotides) under Myotragus balearicus (Balearic islands cave goat). Its description in RNAcentral is "tRNA-Tyr". It matches the Rfam family "tRNA". Rfam says of the family: Transfer RNA (tRNA) molecules are approximately 80 nucleotides in length. Their secondary structure includes four short double-helical elements and three loops (D, anti-codon, and T loops). The record is from RNAcentral. Lineage: Eukaryota; Metazoa; Chordata; Mammalia; Artiodactyla; Bovidae. RNAcentral also lists the same sequence under 1 other name.
GGUAAAAUGGCUGAGUAAAGCAAUAGACUGUAAAUCUAAGAACAGAGGCUUGAUUCCUCUUUUUACCA